ACUCACAGAAACCUUAUGCAGAUUGCCUGUCUGCAUAUUUUCAGCAUAGUAUGUAAGAGACUGCACUGGAGUAAGCCAUAGGUAAAUGCUCUUCUGUAUGCUAUCUGCAUUGGCAAAAUGAAUGCAUUAUGGCCUUCUCUUUUUAGCUUUACACAAUUAAGGCUUGCAGCCAUUAGAAGAGAAGUCUGGAUGAGACAAGAAGAAAAGAUCUACCACAUAAUGGUACUAAAGAAAACUAAUACAACGUACUAAAUGGCUGAAUGAAAUGAAAGAUCUUCAAAGUAUUGGCACUACUGCCGAAGAAAAUGCACAUCAACUUCGUUAAGUAUCUUCAUCUUACUCCUUUUACUGUGAUGGGAAAAUAGAAAAGUAUCAAUUUUCUAGAUCCAGACACUAUCCGUCUGUGUGGCUUGUCACAGCAAUGGAGCUGUUGGAAAACAAAAGGCUUUAUUUGUGAAAGAGAAAAUAUAAGUGUUGGAGUGUUGAUAUAGAAUCAUAAAAUCUUGGAAUGGUUUGAGUUGGAAGGAAUGUCAAUGAUUAUCUUGUUCCAAUUCUACCGCCAUGGGCACGGGCAUUUCCUACUAGACCAGAUUGCUGAAAGCCCCAUCCAACGUGUCCUUGAACACUUCCAGAGAUGGGGCAUCCACAGCUUCUCUGGGCAACCUGUUCCAGUGCCUCACCGCCCUCACAGUAAAGAAUUUCUUUCUAACGUCUAAUCUAAACCUACUGCCUUUCAACUUGUACCCACUACUCCUUGUCCUUUCACUACAGUUCCUGAUGAAGUGUCCCUGCAGUCUCUUCUGCAGGCCCCCUUCAGAUACUGGCAGGUUGCUAUAAGGUCUCUGCACAAUGUUCUCCAGGAUGAACAGUCCCAAUUUUACUUCACAAGACUACAUAUUGAGAAAAUGUUAAAGGAUGUAUGACUCCUGAAAUGGAAAACUCAGAGGCUUUAUUUGAGGAAGUUCUCCACUGGUUCUGUCCAUCCACAAACUACAAAUAUGUGUCUUGGAGGCCCACACUUCUGCUCGAGAGCAUCUUCUUCCCACUGAACACAUUCCUGUGCAGAGCCUGCACAAAGCUUGUGAGGCAAUUGUGGACUGCUUUAUGACAGGAGACCCAGGCUUGGAAGAGGAUCGUUUUGCAGAUAUGAAUUUACCUGUCGCACUCCCUUCAUUUUCUCCCUACUUGCUCCCUGAGGACUUGUGUUGCAGCCAAAUGGUGUUUUCCAGUCUAUUUGCGUGCUGGCAUUCCUUGUCAGAUGAUUAAUCACAAUUUAUCAGGCUAUGCCAACUGUACCUUGUGGGAUUCCCAGAGAGAGCUAGGGAAGAUCCAUCCAUGUUGCUUACCUCUUACGGAGAAGCCGUAUCAUUUGUGCUAGAAAGCACAAUGUAAUUUUAAUGAAGUUCUUUGGUUUGGACUUUGCAAUAACAGCAGGAGAAAGUAACUUUCUUAGGGAGAAAUUCUAGUUCCACUGAAGCCAUUAAGCAUUGUGAGUAGCAGCAAGCUUUUGGGAAAUCUUGUGGCACAAGGUAGAUCCUUUGUGUGCUAUGAAGUCAAGACCAGAGUUAUUAUCUGGGGUCUAUGAGAUUUCUGAAUGCAUAAAGCUAAUUAUUUUUAUAUUUUCUCCUUUGUAUUUAAUGCAACAGAAUGGGGUUAUGGUAUUCGGUAACAGUGAAAUUAUAUUUGGUGUUUAAUAAAUCUCAGCAUCACUUAGCUUUUUUCUUAAUUAUAGAAGUUUAUUGGUUGCUCAUUUUUGGUCCUUGUAUUAAAGCAUAUGCAGCCUCUCACUUCAAACAAUUUUUCAUAG
This is a long non-coding RNA of Ficedula albicollis (Collared flycatcher), 1807 nucleotides long. The record is from Ensembl. Lineage: Eukaryota; Metazoa; Chordata; Aves; Passeriformes; Muscicapidae.